RNAcentral lists this ribosomal RNA (422 nucleotides) under uncultured bacterium. RNAcentral describes it as "bacterial SSU rRNA". It matches the Rfam family "Bacterial small subunit ribosomal RNA", at positions 355 to 774 of the family's 1533-position model. The record is from RNAcentral.
UAAGGAAUAUUGGUCAAUGGAGGGAACUCUGAACCAGCCAUGCCGCGUGCAGGAAGACGGCCCUCUGGGUUGUAAACUGCUUUUAUUCGGGAAUAAACCUAUUUACGUGUAAAUAGCUGAAUGUACCGAAGGAAUAAGGAUCGGCUAACUCCGUGCCAGCAGCCGCGGUAAUACGGAGGAUCCAAGCGUUAUCCGGAUUUAUUGGGUUUAAAGGGUGCGUAGGCGGCUUAUUAAGUCAGGGGUGAAAGACGGUAGCUCAACCAUCGCAGUGGCCAUGAUACUGAUGAGAUUGAAUGGACUAGAGAUAAGAAGAAUGUAACAAGAAGAGGUGAAAUGCAUAGAUAUGUCACAGAACACCGAAUGCGAAGGCAGCUUACUAUGGUUUAAUUGACGCUGAGGCACGAAAGCGUGGGGAUCAAACA